RNAcentral lists this ribosomal RNA (500 nucleotides) under uncultured bacterium. Its description in RNAcentral is "partial 16S ribosomal RNA". It matches the Rfam family "Bacterial small subunit ribosomal RNA", at positions 28 to 507 of the family's 1533-position model. The record is from RNAcentral.
GACGAACGCUGGCGGCGUGCUUAACGCAUGCAAGUCGAACGGGUCUGCCCUGUUUUUUGCGGGGUGGGUCAGUGGCGAACGGGUGAGUAACACGUGAGUAACCUGCCCCUCACUUCUGGAUAACCGCUUGAAAGGGUGGCUAAUACGGGGUGUUCUGGCUGUGCCGCAUGGUGUGGCUGGGAAAGAUUCACUUUUGUGGUGUUUUGGUGGGGGAUGGGCUCGCGGCCUAUCAGCUUGUUGGUGGGGUGAUGGCCUGCCAAGGCUUUGACGGGUAGCCGGCCUGGGAGGGUGGGCGGUCACACUGGGACUGAGAUACGGCCCAGACUCCUGCGGGAGGCAGCAGUGGGGGGUAUUGCACAAUGGGCGGAAGCCUGAUGCAGCGACGUCGCGUGAGGGAUGGAGGCCUUCGGGUUGUGAACCUCUUUCGCCGGUGAAGAAGGUCCUGCUCUUUGUGGGGGGGUUGACGGUAGCCGGGUUAUGAAGCGCCGGCUAACUACGUG